RNAcentral lists this transfer RNA (89 nucleotides) under Nitrospira sp. RNAcentral describes it as "tRNA-Leu". It matches the Rfam family "tRNA". From Rfam's summary of the family: Transfer RNA (tRNA) molecules are approximately 80 nucleotides in length. Their secondary structure includes four short double-helical elements and three loops (D, anti-codon, and T loops). Lineage: Bacteria; Pseudomonadati; Nitrospirota; Nitrospiria; Nitrospirales; Nitrospiraceae. The record is from RNAcentral.
GCCGGAGUGGCGGAACUGGCAGACGCGGCGGUCUUAAAAACCGCUGAGACUUCUCUCACUUGCAGGUUCGAAUCCUGCCUCCGGCACCA